Molecule: non-coding RNA, 277 nt
Organism: Lupinus albus (white lupine)
Lineage: Eukaryota; Viridiplantae; Streptophyta; Magnoliopsida; Fabales; Fabaceae
Source: the annotation of a GenBank genome assembly
GUUAUCAUUGUCAUCUUCCCAACCUUAAUGGCUUCAACUUUCAACUCCUCUAUUUCUUGGCCAACAUAGCUAACACAAACUGGAUUUUGGGGGUUUUGGACUUGUUGAGUUUGGUAACUGCUCAGGUUUUUGUGGAGACUUCACGCUAAGGAACUGCAAUGUGGCCACAGUGUUGACAUCACUGAUAAUGAGUUGGCGUAUUUAGAGAGCAUCCAUUUGUUUGUGGAAAUAUUGGAUCACUUCUUCAGCAAUGUGUGUGAACUGGAUUUGCGGGUGA